UUCAAUACUGUUUUUUUUAAAAAUGGUGUGCACUUUUCUCUUAGUAAGACGUUGUGAUCCAUUAGGAAUCGAUUGUCUAUCUAAUGUUGGACAAUCAAUAGGUUACCAAUAGGCCGACAUUGAAGUUCUCGAUGGCAAAUGGCGCGAUCUUUUGGUUGUGUGUAUUGCCUUGUGAGCAUGUCGUAUUCUGAUGUAACUGCCUGAUGGUUUUUAAAGGUCAUGUCAUUGAUGCUUGCUCAUCACCCGACUUUUGUUGGGAUAUAUUUGUCAUGUGCCCGAUCAACAACGGUUUCAUUUGGGAUACCUUUGGGACCCGUCUUGAAACACGGACCAAGGAGUCUAUCUAGUAUGCGAGUAAAUGGGAUUUCAUUUAAAAACCUAUUUGCGUAAAUAACUUGACUGUAAUUUAAUGGGAUUACGUGUGCAUUUACCUAACCGUGUGCGCACCUCCAUCCCGGGGUAUUUUCAUAACAUAUAUGGGCAACUAUAUAUAGAAAAUAUACCAUGAGCAUACUGGACAUGACCCGAAAGAUGGUGAACUAUGCCUGAUCAGGUUGAAGUCAGGGGAAACCCUGAUGGAGGACCGAAGCAAUUCUGACGUGCAAAUCG
RNAcentral lists this ribosomal RNA (609 nucleotides) under Hudsonimyia sp. Hud2. RNAcentral's name for it is "partial large subunit ribosomal RNA". It matches the Rfam family "Eukaryotic large subunit ribosomal RNA", at positions 450 to 900 of the family's 3401-position model. The record is from RNAcentral. RNAcentral also lists the same sequence under 1 other name. Lineage: Eukaryota; Metazoa; Arthropoda; Insecta; Diptera; Chironomidae.